GAAGUAAAAGUCGUAACAAGGUUUCCGUAGGUGAACCUGCGGAAGGAUCAUUAUUGAAUAAACUUGGUUGGGUUGCUGCUGGCUUUUCGGAGCAUGUGCACGCCUACCGCCAUUUUUACCACCUGUGCACUCUUUGUAGAUCUGGAAUAUCUCUCGAGGAAACUCGGUUUGAGGGAUGCUGCGCGCAAGCCAGCUUCUCUUGCAUUCUAGGUCUAUGUUUUAUAUACCCCAUAACUAUAUUUUAGAAUGUCAUUAAUGGGCCUUGUGCCUUUAAAUUAAUACAACUUUCAACAACGGAUCUCUUGGCUCUCGCAUCGAUGAAGAACGCAGCGAAAUGCGAUAAGUAAUGUGAAUUGCAGAAUUCAGUGAAUCAUCGAAUCUUUGAACGCACCUUGCGCUCCUUGGUAUUCCGAGGAGCAUGCCUGUUUGAGUGUCAUUAAAUUCUCAACCUUUUCAGCUUUUGCGAGUUGAAUUUGGCUUGGAUGUGGGGGCUGCGGGCUUCUCAGAAGUCGGCUCCUCUUAAAUGCAUUAGCGGAACCUUUGUGGACCAGCUUUGGUGUGAUAAUUAUCUACGCUAUUGCUGYGAAGCAGCUUUACAUGGGGUUCAGCUUCUAACUGUCCAUUAACUUGGACAAUUUUUGACAUUUUGACCUCAAAUCAGGUAGGACUACCCGCUGAACUUAAGC
This 686-nucleotide ribosomal RNA is filed under the name Lepista densifolia. RNAcentral describes it as "eukaryotic LSU rRNA". Lineage: Eukaryota; Fungi; Basidiomycota; Agaricomycetes; Agaricales; Clitocybaceae. The record is from RNAcentral.